RNAcentral lists this transfer RNA (84 nucleotides) under Oxytricha trifallax. It matches the Rfam family "tRNA". From Rfam's summary of the family: Transfer RNA (tRNA) molecules are approximately 80 nucleotides in length. Their secondary structure includes four short double-helical elements and three loops (D, anti-codon, and T loops). Lineage: Eukaryota; Ciliophora; Spirotrichea; Sporadotrichida; Oxytrichidae. The record is from Rfam by way of RNAcentral.
GCAAGUGUGGCCGAGCGGUCUAAGGCGUCAGACUCAAGAUCUGAUGGGCGUGAGUCCUCGUGGGUUCAAAUCCCACCGCUUGCA